AUACUAACCUUGCGUAGGGUACACCGCGAUCAGGAAGGCGGUUGCCUCGGGCUGACUCCGGCCAUUGCACUGAGGCCGGGGAAGUCGGUCUGUGACUUUCCUUGGAUUGUCGUGCGUGGAAUUUUUGCUAGUUGGACUUGCGUGCUGCGCAGUCCAU
Molecule: small nuclear RNA, 157 nt
Filed under: Operophtera brumata (winter moth)
Lineage: Eukaryota; Metazoa; Arthropoda; Insecta; Lepidoptera; Geometridae
Description: U1 spliceosomal RNA
Rfam family: U1 spliceosomal RNA
About the family: U1 is a small nuclear RNA (snRNA) component of the spliceosome (involved in pre-mRNA splicing).
Source: Rfam by way of RNAcentral